Molecule: long non-coding RNA, 259 nt
Organism: Folsomia candida
Lineage: Eukaryota; Metazoa; Arthropoda; Collembola; Entomobryomorpha; Isotomidae
Exons: 3
Source: RefSeq, a predicted model, not a curated record
CCCCCGGAGACGCCGCCUCAAGAACCCGUCGCGCAGUCCUCACGAAACCCACCCCCAGCACCAUCUGAGAAAGUGAAGCUGGAGGAGAAGAAACCUGAUGGGAAAAAAAGGGGCCGAAAGAGGAUCAGGAUGAACCAGAUGUUUAUCAAACUCGUCUUAUCGCCAACCUGGAGUUAACGGCAGAACAUUUUCUGCUGGUGAAGAAAAGACCUGGCAAGAGAGCCUCAUCCAUUGGAGGAAAGUGUCACGAAGCACCAAU